CCGGGGCUUAACCCCGGAUCUGCGGUGGGUACGGGCAGACUAGAGUGCAGUAGGGGAGACUGGAAUUCCUGGUGUAGCGGUGGAAUGCGCAGAUAUCAGGAGGAACACCGAUGGCGAAGGCAGGUCUCUGGGCUGUAACUGACGCUGAGGAGCGAAAGCAUGGGGAGCGAACAGGAUUAGAUACCCUGGUAGUCCAUGCCGUAAACGUUGGGCACUAGGUGUGGGGACCAUUCCACGGUUUCCGCGCCGCAGCUAACGCAUUAAGUGCCCCGCCUGGGGAGUACGGCCGCAAGGCUAAAACUCAAAGGAAUUGACGGGGGCCCGCACAAGCGGCGGAGCAUGCGGAUUAAUUCGAUGCAACGCGAAGAACCUUACCAAGGCUUGACAUGUUCUCGAUCGCCGUAGAGAUACGGUUUCCCCUUUGGGGCGGGUUCACAGGUGGUGCAUGGUUGUCGUCAGCUCGUGUCGUGAGAUGUUGGGUUAAGUCCCGCAACGAGCGCAACCCUCGUUCCAUGUUGCCAGCACGUAAUGGUGGGGACUCAUGGGAGACUGCCGGGGUCAACUCGGAGGAAGGUGAGGACGACGUCAAAUCAUCAUGCCCCUUAUGUCUUGGGCUUCACGCAUGCUACAAUGGCCGGUACAAUGGGUUGCGAUACUGUGAGGUGGAGCUAAUCCCAAAAAGCCGGUCUCAGUUCGGAUUGGGGUCUGCAACUCGACCCCAUGAAGUCGGAGUCGCUAGUAAUCGCAGAUCAGCAACGCUGCGGUGAAUACGUUCCCGGGCCUUGUACACACCGCCCGUCAAGUCACGAAAGUUGGUAACACCCGAAGCCGGUGGCCUAACCC
This 843-nucleotide ribosomal RNA is filed under the name Micrococcus sp. Ze09. RNAcentral describes it as "bacterial SSU rRNA". It matches the Rfam family "Bacterial small subunit ribosomal RNA", at positions 602 to 1441 of the family's 1533-position model. Lineage: Bacteria; Bacillati; Actinomycetota; Actinomycetes; Micrococcales; Micrococcaceae. The record is from RNAcentral.